This is a long non-coding RNA of Oreochromis aureus, 744 nucleotides long. RefSeq lists it as uncharacterized. The transcript has 4 exons. The record is from RefSeq and is a predicted model, not a curated record. Lineage: Eukaryota; Metazoa; Chordata; Actinopteri; Cichliformes; Cichlidae.
GCCGCUGGCACAGGGAGCCGCGGCGGUCAGCUGUUGUCCCGCAGGGCAGGGAGUGUCCCGGCGGAGGAGGGCGGUGCUCUGAGCGGGACGCGGCCGGCGGGGCUCCGUCAGCUGACGCGGAGCUCCGCCGCGGCGCAGACAUCUUGGCACCGAACGGAGGAGACGGAGGGUCCGGUCCUCACGGUCUAACGCCCCGAUGGAUCGACGGCAGGGCUCGCGGGUACGGGAGGAGUCCUCGCCGAGAGCCAGCGGCCUGUCCGCGGGGCCGGGGAGCACCGGGAGCGGUCCGCGCUCUGCCCCUGUGUCUCUCCGUUAUGAUUGGCUCUGACUGACAGUGUCAGCUCCUCAUCCACGACUGCGGUGUUGAUCUCCAGAGGUUGUUGCCAUGACAGCAGGAAGGGGCGUGUCCCACGGCGCCGCUGUGCUGCUGCUGCGGCUCUGUGGUUUUUUUAGGUUUUGAUUUUUGUAGCGUUGGACGAGAAAAUCAAAACCUAAAGAAAAUACAGCGCUGACAGAACUUCCUGCAGGGGGUGCCGAGCACCAGGCUGCUGGACAUGAGGAGGUCUGGACACUUCCUGUGACCUUCAUCAAGUUUCAGGUGUUGUGGCUCCUUGUGACAGUCUUGGAGGCAUCACUGGCCUUCGGCGAUCACGCCACAGCUGAAUCUUUGAGGCUGAUGUGUGCUGAUGUGAUCGCUGUCAGAGCGUUUGGAUCUUUCUCAGUAAAGCAGUGAAAAUAAACUUU